GUCUUGCCAUUUUGAAAAGUGGCAUUAUAAAAUGAAAAAGGGAGGUCGGAAAUACAAUGUUCAUUACUCCUGUAAAGUCUUAUUCAGCUCUGCAAUCAACCUAGACAACUAGAUGCAUCAAUCAAUCGACAUCAAAUCUUGGCUGUGUGUUGCUGAAGGCUCUGGUGCUGAUUUGAGAGUUAGUGGAAUUUGAGUAGUUGAGGUGAGAAGCAGGAAGCAAUGCUGCUGCUGCUGCUGCUGCACGGUUGGUCUUGGUGGUGGGUUGUAGGUGGGUCUGCCAGAAGACAUCAAAGGUAAGGAGCUGGUUAUGUACCUUCACUAGUGGAAUGCCGCUGUGCUGAAGUGCUGUUUUCUCUUUUGGAUUUUUGGAGAUUGUUGCUUGUGCUACACUAGGUGAGAAUUGUUGUUGAGGAGUGAAGAUUAUAUUUUUAAUUAUGCUCUGU
Anguilla anguilla (European eel) is the source of this 443-nucleotide long non-coding RNA. RefSeq lists it as uncharacterized. Lineage: Eukaryota; Metazoa; Chordata; Actinopteri; Anguilliformes; Anguillidae. The record is from RefSeq and is a predicted model, not a curated record. The transcript is spliced from 3 exons.